This 76-nucleotide transfer RNA is filed under the name Simkaniaceae bacterium. RNAcentral describes it as "tRNA-Met". It matches the Rfam family "tRNA". Rfam says of the family: Transfer RNA (tRNA) molecules are approximately 80 nucleotides in length. Their secondary structure includes four short double-helical elements and three loops (D, anti-codon, and T loops). The record is from RNAcentral. Lineage: Bacteria; Pseudomonadati; Chlamydiota; Chlamydiia; Parachlamydiales; Simkaniaceae.
GGCGGUAUAGCUCAGUUGGUAGAGCAACGGAAUCAUAAUCCGUGGGUCGUUGGUUCAAGUCCAUCUGCCGCUACCA